GACGAACGCUGGCGGCGUGCUUAACACAUGCAAGUCGAACGGUGAACCUCUUCGGAGGGGAUCAGUGGCGAACGGGUGAGUAACACGUGGGCAACCUGCCCCCGGCUCUGGGAUAACUCCAAGAAAUUGGGGCUAAUACCGGAUGUUCACCGCUUCCCGCAUGGGUGGUGGUGGAAAGGGUUUCCGGCUGGGGAUGGGCCCGCGGCCUAUCCGCUUGUUGGUGGGGUAGUGGCCUACCAAGGCGACGACGGGUAGCCGGCCUGAGUGGGUGACCGGCCACACUGGGACUGAGACACGGCCCAGACUCCUACGGGAGGCAGCAGUGGGGAAUAUUGCGCGAUGGGCGGAAGCCUGACGCAGCGACGCCGCGUGGGGGAUGACGGCCUUCGGGUUGUAAACCUCUUUCAGCAGGGACGAAGCGCAAGUGACGGUACCUGCAGAAGAAGCACCGGCCAACUACGUG
RNAcentral lists this ribosomal RNA (463 nucleotides) under uncultured bacterium. RNAcentral's name for it is "partial 16S ribosomal RNA". It matches the Rfam family "Bacterial small subunit ribosomal RNA", at positions 28 to 507 of the family's 1533-position model. The record is from RNAcentral.